This 253-nucleotide ribosomal RNA is filed under the name uncultured bacterium. Its description in RNAcentral is "partial 16S ribosomal RNA". It matches the Rfam family "Bacterial small subunit ribosomal RNA", at positions 524 to 776 of the family's 1533-position model. The record is from RNAcentral.
UACGUAGGGUGCGAGCGUUAAUCGGAAUUACUGGGCGUAAAGCGUGCGCAGGCGGUUUUGCAAGCCGGAUGUGAAAUCCCCGGGCUUAACCUGGGAACUGCAUUCGAGACUGCAUUGCUAGAGUAUGGGAGAGGGAAGUGGAAUUUCAGGUGUAGCGGUGAAAUGCGUAGAUAUCUGAAGGAACAUCAGUGGCGAAAGCGACUUCCUGGACCAAUACUGACGCUCAUGUGCGAAAGCGUGGGGAGCAAACAGG